AAAGAAGAGGUGGAGAGACUGACAAUUUUGCUGAAAUGAGCAGAAGCUGCUGAGAAUUGUGCUGGUAAGAGGAGAAAAGGCUGAAAAUUUUGCAGAAAAGAGGUGAAUCAGCAGAAUUUCAGCUGAAAAGAGGUAAAGAAGCAAAAACUUGCGCUGAAAAGAGAUGAAUCAGCAGAAUUUCUGCUCAAAAGAGUUUAAGAAGCAGAAAGUUGUGCUGAAAAGAGAUGAAUCAGCAGAAUUUCUGCUUAAAAGAGUUUUUCCUGAAAACAGCUGAGAUUUGUGCUAAUAAGAGGUGAAAAGGCUGAAAAUUUUGCAGAAGAGGUGAACAAGCACAAUUUGGGCUGAAAAGAGGUGAAAAUUUUGCUGAAAACAGGUGUUCAAAUCCCAUGACCAGGAUUUGAACCUGGCCCUUCUGGUCUCAAGGAAGCUACUCAUCUCACUGAACUAAACUUGUUCCGACAAACACAAGGGAUGGAGAAACUGACAAUUUUGGUAAAUGAGCAGAAGCUGCUGAGUUUUGUGCUGAGAAGAUGUGAAAAGCUGAGAAAUUUGCAGAAAAGAGGUGAAUCAGCAGAAUUUCUGCAGAAAAGAUGGAAAGAAGAAGAACAUUGCGCUGAAAAGAGGUAAAUCAGCAGAAUUUCUGCUGAAAAGACGGAAAGAAGCAAUCACAGUAGCUGCUCAUCUCACUGAGCCAAAGCAGUUCUUGUCCCACCAAGAGAUAUGAUGAGAAAAAAUGUGCAGGGGGGGGGCCGUAGGAGCUGAAUUGUUGUGAAAAGAGGUGAAAAAGCUGAAAUUCUUCUGAAAGAGCAGAACAGGCUGAAAAUUUUCAGCUACUCAUUGAGCCAAACUGGUUCUCACAUAACUGAAAAAAGGUGAAAAAGCUGAAAAUUCUGAUAAAAACAUCAGAAGUGGCUGACAUUUGUGCUGAUAAGAGGUGAAAACGCAAACUUUCUGCUGAAAAGAGGCAGAACAACCUGGUUCUGCUCAAUUUCACCAAUCAGAGGUACUGCUUCUGUCUGCUUCAUCACGCUGUGUACUUGUAUGUAUUUCUGCCAUGUGGUGUUGACAAGAAUCUGA
Oreochromis aureus is the source of this 1077-nucleotide long non-coding RNA. NCBI's taxonomy places the organism in Eukaryota, Metazoa, Chordata, Actinopteri, Cichliformes, Cichlidae. The record is from Ensembl.